RNAcentral lists this small nucleolar RNA (74 nucleotides) under Dipodomys ordii (Ord's kangaroo rat). RNAcentral's name for it is "Small nucleolar RNA SNORD113/SNORD114 family (ENSDORG00000022624.2)". The record is from RNAcentral. Lineage: Eukaryota; Metazoa; Chordata; Mammalia; Rodentia; Heteromyidae.
CACACCAAGGAUGAGAUUGGAGUGUGUCUGAAUAAAAAAUCUUGAUUAAAGCCAUCUGGAACUGGCAGGUCCAU